UUAAAUUGCUUUGGGUUUAUGACUUGUCGAUUACUUACUAAUUUAUUUUCCCCACCAAAACAAAUGGUGCAUUAGAUAUACUUACGCUAUUGAAACCUUUCAGUAGUAUAUAUAAAACAUGACGGCUAUAAUUUUCAUUAUUUCCUAUGUUCUCCGAGUAGUACCGGACAUCAAAAUUAAAUCAGUGAUCAUGAAGUGCCCAUUACUGAUUUGUAUGGCAUGUUUACUCUUUAUCGUUGAUGGACGCCUUAUAAUUCCUAACUUCAGCCACUUCAGCUAUAGUUCAAAAGGAGGCCCGCCCCCCCUGCCAUCACCACCAGGUUACUCUGACUUAGGAGAUGGUAUGGUAGUGUCUGGGUAUCCAGUUAAUGCAGUGCCAAUUUCAGAUUCUUAUUAUGGAGGUCUUAGUCCGUCUAUUUAUUCCCGCUACCCAUCAGCUUCUAAUUAUAACUUGGGCUAAGUAGUUAUAAAUCAUUAAAAUAACGUAUAAAUCAUAUAAAUACGUGCUAAAUAAAUACAAACAUAAUAUUAUGAACAUGUUGUAUUUAAUUGAAAACCCAAGUGAACUGAAUAAAAAACAUAAUUUCA
Molecule: long non-coding RNA, 588 nt
Organism: Ostrinia nubilalis (European corn borer)
Lineage: Eukaryota; Metazoa; Arthropoda; Insecta; Lepidoptera; Crambidae
Exons: 2
Source: RefSeq, a predicted model, not a curated record